GACGAACGCUGGCGGCGUGCCUAAUACAUGCAAGUUGAGCGCUGAAGGUUGGUACUUGUACCAACUGGAUGAGCAGCGAACGGGUGAGUAACGCGUGGGGAAUCUGCCUUUGAGCGGGGGACAACAUUUGGAAACGAAUGCUAAUACCGCAUAAAAACUUUAAACACAAGUUUUAAGUUUGAAAGAUGCAAUUGCAUCACUCAAAGAUGAUCCCGCGUUGUAUUAGCUAGUUGGUGAGGUAAAGGCUCACCAAGGCGAUGAUACAUAGCCGACCUGAGAGGGUGAUCGGCCACGUUGGGACUGAGACACGGCCCAAACUCCUACGGGAGGCAGCAGUAGGGAAUCUUCGGCAAUGGACGAAAGUCUGACCGAGCAACGCCGCGCGAGUGAAGAAGGUUUUCGGAUCGUAAAACUCUGUUGGUAGAGAAGAACGUUGGUGAGAGUGGAAAGCUCAUCAAGUGACGGUAACUACCCAGAAAGGGACGGCUAACUACGUG
RNAcentral lists this ribosomal RNA (497 nucleotides) under uncultured bacterium. Its description in RNAcentral is "partial 16S ribosomal RNA". It matches the Rfam family "Bacterial small subunit ribosomal RNA", at positions 28 to 507 of the family's 1533-position model. The record is from RNAcentral.